UACGUAGGGGGCAAGCGUUGUCCGGAAUCAUUGGGCGUAAAGGGCGUGUAGGCGGCCCGAUAAGUCCGCUGUGAAAGUCCAGGGCUCAACCCUGGAAUGCCGGUGGAUACUGUCGGGCUCGAAUCCGGAAGAGGUGAGUGGAAUUCCUGGUGUAGCGGUGAAAUGCGCAGAUAUCAGGAGGAACACCAAUGGCGAAGGCAGCUCACUGGGACGGUAUUGACGCUGAGACGCGAAAGCGUGGGGAGCAAACAGG
This 253-nucleotide ribosomal RNA is filed under the name uncultured bacterium. RNAcentral describes it as "partial 16S ribosomal RNA". It matches the Rfam family "Bacterial small subunit ribosomal RNA", at positions 524 to 776 of the family's 1533-position model. The record is from RNAcentral.